The sequence is a regulatory RNA element, 109 nucleotides long. It matches the Rfam family "SAM riboswitch aptamer (S box leader)". Rfam says of the family: The SAM riboswitch is found upstream of a number of genes which code for proteins involved in methionine or cysteine biosynthesis in Gram-positive bacteria. The record is from Rfam.
CCUUUAUCCAGAGAGGCGGAGGGACUAGGCCCUACGAUGCCCAGCAACCGGCGUAUUUACGCAAAGGUGCUAAUUCCUACAGAUUUUGAUUAGAUCUGAGAGAUAAGGG